AUGAACGCUGGCGGCGUGCCUAAUACAUGCAAGUCGAGCGAACAGACGAGGAGCUUGCUCCUCUGACGUUAGCGGCGGACGGGUGAGUAACACGUGGAUAACCUACCUAUAAGACUGGGAUAACUUCGGGAAACCGGAGCUAAUACCGGAUAAUAUAUUGAACCGCAUGGUUCAAUAGUGAAAGACGGUUUUGCUGUCACUUAUAGAUGGAUCCGCGCCGCAUUAGCUAGUUGGUAAGGUAACGGCUUACCAAGGCAACGAUGCGUAGCCGACCUGAGAGGGUGAUCGGCCACACUGGAACUGAGACACGGUCCAGACUCCUACGGGAGGCAGCAGUAGGGAAUCUUCCGCAAUGGGCGAAAGCCUGACGGAGCAACGCCGCGUGAGUGAUGAAGGUCUUCGGAUCGUAAAACUCUGUUAUUAGGGAAGAACAAAUGUGUAAGUAACUAUGCACGUCUUGACGGUACCUAAUCAGAGAGCCACGGCUAACUACGU
Molecule: ribosomal RNA, 495 nt
Filed under: uncultured bacterium
Lineage: Bacteria
Description: partial 16S ribosomal RNA
Rfam family: Bacterial small subunit ribosomal RNA
Source: RNAcentral